RNAcentral lists this unclassified non-coding RNA (1082 nucleotides) under Hevea brasiliensis (rubber tree). Lineage: Eukaryota; Viridiplantae; Streptophyta; Magnoliopsida; Malpighiales; Euphorbiaceae. The record is from RNAcentral.
AAGCAAGAAUUUUUUGAGUAUACUGGUAAAAAUUAGAAAAAGCAACGCCCAAUGUUGACCACAUCAGGUCCACAAGCAAUUUCGUGCCAGAAUUUCACACUUAAAUUGCAUCCGAUGUGUGAAGUAAUAAUUGUACUACAGGACAAAAAUAACAGAGAAGACAUGAGAAAUGAGUAAAUGCUUCCAUAAGCUAUAUUUUGUUUAAUAAAGGAAGGAAUUAGCUAUAUCCAAAGUUAAAUGCAUGCACCAGUGCUUGUUUGUGUAAUUAAUCUUUUAUUCAUCGGGAGGGAAGUCCUCGUCUGAGGCGUUUUCCAGGAAGGAGCCAAGCGUUUUCCUCAAAAUGCUGAAAGUUUUAUCAUCCUGCUUUUUCUUUUUCAAGGACUCCUCUAAUUUUGCAAUUUUAUCAGCACAAGCUUUCUCUUGUUCAGAUAUCAUAUUUUUCUCUUUCUUCCCUGAUAUUGACCCAUAACAGAAUGAGUGCAAUAAUUUUAUGUUUUACUCAAGAAAGAAAGAGUAUUGUUAAACAGUGCUCACUCAGUUGUUCAUAUCUCAUGAACAGCCUUUCCUUGUCUUCUUCAAAUUUGGAAAUGGUGUCUUUUAAGGCCUGCAAAUGAGACGCUUUCUCCUUGCAGAAUUUCUCAUGAAUCUCUUGAAACUUGGUAGUCUCAUUCUUCAAGCAAUUCUCACACUCUUUUGAGCUCUUUGAAAGUGCCCUUGCAAAUCCUUGCCUGUCCUUCUCAAUUUUGGAUUUCAACUCAUCAAUCAUUGUCCUGAUCUCAGACGCCACACUAGAUAUCGUCUCCUCGUUCUUCUUUUGACCAUCCUUUUCCGCUUUCUCUCUGAUCUGUUGCAGCGCCGACAUUAUCCCCUUGAUAUCACUGGAGAGAUCGACAUCGAAGUCGUCAUCGACUCGGAAUUUGGAGUCAGAUUUGGUGAGUACUGACUCGGCGGCUCGUUUCUUGGAGCUUGUUUUCGAAGUAGACAUUGUUAGUGUGACUAUUGCAGGAAUUGAAAUGAGAUUGAAAGAUUGAUUUUCUGUCAGUUUUGGUUUGAAAAGCGCGAAACGAAACUUGAGCUUCAAU